AAUAUAUAUUAUUUGUUAUGUUUGUUUCUUGUUUUAUAUAUUUUGUAGAAGUUGCACCCACUCGUGAUCCCAAUGAAGAAGAUUCUGGUGUUGAGUCUGAUUAAAGUACAUCUUGUUAAGUUUUAUGGUUGGUUUGCAUUAUGAAGUUUUAGCUAUUUUGUUGGAGAAGACACCAUAACUUUGCUAAUUGCUAUCAGUUUAAUGACAAUUUAUUUUUAUUUUCAGUUGUGUUGACUGUUGAGCUAUUAAACUUCUUUAAUUGUCGUAUUUGAAUUCUAUUGUCGUUAUAUUUCAUUAGAUCAAGACUUUGUUAGCUA
Molecule: non-coding RNA, 317 nt
Organism: Arachis ipaensis
Lineage: Eukaryota; Viridiplantae; Streptophyta; Magnoliopsida; Fabales; Fabaceae
Source: RefSeq, a predicted model, not a curated record